GGCCCUAUGGUUCUCUGGUAGUGAGUUAUCAAAACUUAUUAACAUUAGUAUAACUAAAGUUGGUAUACAACCCACCACUGCUAAAUUUGACUGGCUUAAA
Prolemur simus (greater bamboo lemur) is the source of this 100-nucleotide unclassified non-coding RNA. It matches the Rfam family "Y RNA". From Rfam's summary of the family: Y RNAs are components of the Ro ribonucleoprotein particle (Ro RNP), in association with Ro60 and La proteins. The Y RNAs and Ro60 and La proteins are well conserved, but the function of the Ro RNP is not known. The record is from Ensembl. NCBI's taxonomy places the organism in Eukaryota, Metazoa, Chordata, Mammalia, Primates, Lemuridae.